CCUACGGGAGGCAGCAGUGAGGAAUAUUGGUCAAUGGACGAGAGUCUGAACCAGCCAAGCAGCGUGAAGGAGGACUGCCCUAUGGGUUGUAAACUUCUUUUAUAUGGGAAUAAAAUGUUCCACGCGUCGGUGGUUGUAUGUACCAUAUGAAUAAGGAUCGGCUAACUCCGUGCCAGCAGCCGCGGUAAUACGGAGGAUCCGAGCGUUAUCCGGAUUUAUUGGGUUUAAAGGGAGCGUAGGUGGAUUGUUAAGUCAGUUGUGAAAGUCUGCGGCUUAACCGUAGAAUUGCAGUUGAAACUGGCAGUCUUGAGUACAGUAGAGGUAGGCGGAAUGCGUGGUGUAGCGGUGAAAUGCUUAGAUAUCACGAAGAACUCCGAUUGCGAAGGCAGCUUACUGGACUGCAACUGACGCUGAGGCACGAAAGUGUGGGUAGCAAACAGGAUUAGAUACCCGAGUAGUC
RNAcentral lists this ribosomal RNA (460 nucleotides) under uncultured bacterium. RNAcentral's name for it is "partial 16S ribosomal RNA". It matches the Rfam family "Bacterial small subunit ribosomal RNA", at positions 338 to 795 of the family's 1533-position model. The record is from RNAcentral.